AAUGAGAGAAUGAUAAAUCAGAUUUUUUCUUUUGAUUUUCAGCCUAUUUCUCCUGAAAAAAUUAAAAUCAAGCUAAAAACACUAAAAAUUGGGAGAAAAAAAUCUGAUUUGUCAUUCUCUCAUU
Non-coding RNA from Gossypium arboreum, 124 nucleotides. The record is from Rfam. NCBI's taxonomy places the organism in Eukaryota, Viridiplantae, Streptophyta, Magnoliopsida, Malvales, Malvaceae.